Molecule: ribosomal RNA, 810 nt
Filed under: unidentified
Description: Jenniferia griseocinerea partial large subunit ribosomal RNA
Rfam family: Eukaryotic large subunit ribosomal RNA
Source: RNAcentral
UUGAAAUCCGGCCCCCGGCCCGAGUUGUAAUUUGCAGAGGAUGCUUCCGGCGCGGCGCCUUCCGAGUUCCCUGGAACGGGACGCCACAGAGGGUGAGAGCCCCGUCCGGUCGGACGCCAAGCCGGUGUGAAGCUCCUUCGACGAGUCGAGUAGUUUGGGAAUGCUGCUCAAAACGGGAGGUAUAUGUCUUCUAAAGCUAAAUACCGGCCAGAGACCGAUAGCGCACAAGUAGAGUGAUCGAAAGAUGAAAAGCACUUUGGAAAGAGGGUUAAAAAGUACGUGAAAUUGUUGAAAGGGAAGCGCCCGUGACCAGACUCGGGCCCGGCGGAUCACCCGGCGUUCUCGCCGGGGCACUCCGCCGGGCGCGGGCCAGCAUCAGCUCGGCGCGGGGGACAAAGGCUCUGGGAACGUGGCUCCCCCGGGAGUGUUAUAGCCCACCGCGCAAUGCCCCGCGCCGGACUGAGGUACGCGCACCGCAAGGAUGCUGGCGUAAUGGUCACCGGCGACCCGUCUUGAAACACGGACCAAGGAGUCGUCUUCGUAUGCGAGUGUUCGGGUGUCAAACCCCUACGCGGAAUGAAAGUGAACGCAGGUGGGAGCCUCGGCGCACCACCGACCGAUCCCGAUGUUCUCGGACGGAUUUGAGUAGGAGCAUACGGGGCCGGACCCGAAAGAAGGUGAACUAUGCCUGUGUAGGGUGAAGCCAGAGGAAACUCUGGUGGAGGCUCGCAGCGGUUCUGACGUGCGAAUCGAUCGUCAAACAUGGGCAUGGGGGCGAAAGACUAAUCGAACCUUCUAGUAGCUGGUUUC